CAAUUCACUGGAAGUAUCCCAUAUGGCAUAGUUAACUGCACUGGGUUGCAAAUCUUGGACGUGAGUGAUAAUUAUCUCUCUGGUAGCAUCCCUGGUUGGAUAAGGAAUUUAACUUCUCUUGAAGUCAUGGAUCUAUCACAGAACAAUUACUCUGGAAACCUGCCAUCUAACUUUGGCCCUCAUUGGAUCAGAGAAGUUUAUCUAUCAAAAAAUAGG
This 216-nucleotide unclassified non-coding RNA is filed under the name Hevea brasiliensis (rubber tree). Lineage: Eukaryota; Viridiplantae; Streptophyta; Magnoliopsida; Malpighiales; Euphorbiaceae. The record is from RNAcentral.